UAUACAUGCAAGUCGAACGAACUUCCGUUAAUUGAUUAUGACGUACUUGUACUGAUUGAGAUUUUAACACGAAGUGAGUGGCGAACGGGUGAGUAACACGUGGGUAACCUGCCCAGAAGUAGGGGAUAACACCUGGAAACAGAUGCUAAUACCGUAUAACAGAGAAAACCGCAUGGUUUUCUUUUAAAAGAUGGCUCUGCUAUCACUUCUGGAUGGACCCGCGGCGUAUUAGCUAGUUGGUGAGGUAAAGGCUCACCAAGGCAGUGAUACGUAGCCGACCUGAGAGGGUAAUCGGCCACAUUGGGACUGAGACACGGCCCAGACUCCUACGGGAGGCAGCAGUAGGGAAUCUUCCACAAUGGACGCAAGUCUGAUGGAGCAACGCCGCGUGAGUGAAGAAGGGUUUCGGCUCGUAAAGCUCUGUUGUUAAAGAAGAACGUGGGUAAGAGUAACUGUUUACCCAGUGACGGUAUUUAACCAGAAAGCCACGGCUAACUACGUGCCAGCAGCCGCGGUAAUACGUAGGUGGCAAGCGUUAUCCGGAUUUAUUGGGCGUAAAGCGAGCGCAGGCGGUCUUUUAAGUCUAAUGUGAAAGCCUUCGGCUCAACCGAAGAAGUGCAUUGGAAACUGGGAGACUUGAGUGCAGAAGAGGACAGUGGAACUCCAUGUGUAGCGGUGAAAUGCGUAGAUAUAUGGAAGAACACCAGUGGCGAAGGCGGCUGUCUGGUCUGCAACUGACGCUGAGGCUCGAAAGCAUGGGUAGCGAACAGGAUUAGAUACCCUGGUAGUCCAUGCCGUAAACGAUGAUUACUAAGUGUUGGAGGGUUUCCGCCCUUCAGUGCUGCAGCUAACGCAUUAAGUAAUCCGCCUGGGGAGUACGACCGCAAGGUUGAAACUCAAAAGAAUUGANGGGCCCGCACAGCG
Molecule: ribosomal RNA, 924 nt
Filed under: Pediococcus pentosaceus
Lineage: Bacteria; Bacillati; Bacillota; Bacilli; Lactobacillales; Lactobacillaceae
Description: bacterial SSU rRNA
Rfam family: Bacterial small subunit ribosomal RNA
Source: RNAcentral